CCUACGGGGAGCAGCAGUGAGGAAUAUUGGUCAAUGGGCUCACGCCUGAACCAGCCAAGUCGCGUGAGGGAAGACUGCCCUAUGGGUUGUAAACCUCUUUUGUCAGGGAGCAAUUGGCGCUACGUGUAGCGUUAUCGAGAGUACCUGAAGAAAAAGCAUCGGCUAACUCCGUGCCAGCAGCCGAGGAAAUACUGAGGAUGCGAGCGUUAUCCGGAUUUAUUGGGUGUAAAGGGUGCGUAGGCGGAAUGCCAAGUCAGCGGUAAAAUCGCGGGGCUCAACCUCGCUCCGCAGUUGAAACUGGCGUGCUUGAGUGGGCGAGAGGUAUGCGGAAUGCGUGGUGUAGCGGUGAAAUGCAUAGAUAUCACGCAGAACUCCGAUUGCGAAGGCAGCAUACCGGCGCCCAACUGACGCUGAAGCACGAAAGCGUGGGUAUCGAACAGGAUUAGAUACCCUUGUAGUC
RNAcentral lists this ribosomal RNA (460 nucleotides) under uncultured bacterium. Its description in RNAcentral is "partial 16S ribosomal RNA". It matches the Rfam family "Bacterial small subunit ribosomal RNA", at positions 338 to 795 of the family's 1533-position model. The record is from RNAcentral.